This 253-nucleotide ribosomal RNA is filed under the name uncultured bacterium. Its description in RNAcentral is "partial 16S ribosomal RNA". It matches the Rfam family "Bacterial small subunit ribosomal RNA", at positions 524 to 776 of the family's 1533-position model. The record is from RNAcentral.
UACGUAGGGUGCAAGCGUUAAUCGGAAUUACUGGGCGUAAAGCGUGCGCAGGCGGUGAUGUAAGACAGAUGUGAAAUCCCCGGGCUCAGCCUGGGAACUGCAUUUGUGACUGCAUCGCUGGAGUACGGCAGAGGGGGAUGGAAUUCCGCGUGUAGCAGUGAAAUGCGUAGAUAUGCGGAGGAACACCGAUGGCGAAGGCAAUCCCCUGGGCCUGUACUGACGCUCAUGCACGAAAGCGUGGGGAGCAAACAGG